AAAUGUGAGGGCGAUCUGGCUGCAACAUCUGUCACCCCAUUGAUCCCCAGGGUUGAUUUGGCUGAUCUGGCUGGUUAGGUGGGUGUUCUCUUCCUCCCUCACCGCUCCGUGUGCGUCCCUCCUGAAGCUGCGCGCUCAGUCGAAGAGGACAAUCAUCCCCGAUAGAGGAGGACCAUUCUUUGGGCAAGGGUAUACGAGUAGCUGCGCUCCUCUGCUAGAACCUCCAGACAGGUUCUCAAGGUCCAUUUGUAGGAGAACGUAGGGUAGUCAAGCUUCUAAGACUCCAGACACAUCCAAAUGAGGUGCUGCACGUGGUAGUCUGCCUUUCUUA
This is an unclassified non-coding RNA of Vulpes vulpes (red fox), 331 nucleotides long. Its record names the gene 7SK. It matches the Rfam family "7SK RNA". Rfam says of the family: 7SK was discovered as an abundant small nuclear RNA in the mid-70s but a possible function has only recently been suggested. Lineage: Eukaryota; Metazoa; Chordata; Mammalia; Carnivora; Canidae. The record is from Ensembl.